AGGACGAACGCUGGCGGCGUGCUUAACACAUGCAAGUCGAACGAGGUUUAUGGAAGAGCUUGCUCGGAAAUAAACCGAGUGGCGGACGGGUGAGUAACGCGUGAGCAACCUGUCUCACACAGGGGAAUAACGCAUCGAAAGAUGUGCUAAUACCGCAUAGGACCACGGGAGGGCAUCCUUCCGAGGUGAAAGGAGCAAUCCGGUGUGAGGUGGGCUCGCGUCUGAUUAGAUAGUUGGUGGGGUAACGGCCUACCAAGUCAACGAUCAGUAGCCGACCUGAGAGGGUGAUCGGCCACAUUGGGACUGAGACACGGCCCAGACUCCUACGGGAGGCAGCAGUGGGGAAUAUUGGGCAAUGGGCGAAAGCCCUGACCCAGCAACGCCGCGUGAAGGAAGAAGGUUUUCGGAUCGUAAACUUCUGUCCUUGGUGAAGAUCAUGACGGUAGCCAAGGAGGAAGCCCCGACUAACUACGUGCCAGCCGCCGC
Molecule: ribosomal RNA, 486 nt
Filed under: uncultured bacterium
Lineage: Bacteria
Description: bacterial SSU rRNA
Rfam family: Bacterial small subunit ribosomal RNA
Source: RNAcentral